This 91-nucleotide ribosomal RNA is filed under the name Bacillus spizizenii. Lineage: Bacteria; Bacillati; Bacillota; Bacilli; Caryophanales; Bacillaceae. The record is from RNAcentral.
UUUGGUGGCGAUAGCGAAGAGGUCACACCCGUUCCCAUGCCGAACACGGAAGUUAAGCUCUUCAGCGCCGAUGGUAGUCGGGGGUUUCCCC